UACCCGGGCGCCUUCAUUAGG
This 21-nucleotide non-coding RNA is filed under the name Arabidopsis thaliana (thale cress). Lineage: Eukaryota; Viridiplantae; Streptophyta; Magnoliopsida; Brassicales; Brassicaceae. The record is from RNAcentral.